GGUAUUAACUGCCUAUCUGAGGACUUGACCUAAAUGGUGCCAAAUUGGGCCUGCGGUUUUCUUUUUACCACUACACAAACACAUCCUGGUCUCUCACAUUGUAGUUGUGCCCCCUUUCCCCACGUCUCACACACACCAAAUACCCAGCGCCCUCUCUCACACUCAGAUACCUCACAGGACAGACACACAUACUGCAGUCACAGCUCACACCAACAUGCUCCGGACAUCUCACACUUUCUCUCUCACACACUCACCUCCCACCACCUCUGGCAGCUCACACUUUCUCUCACACACACUCACCUCCCACCACCUCUGGCAGCUCACACUUUCUCUCACACACGCUCACCUCCCACCACCUCUGGCAGCUCACACUUUCUCUCACACACACGCACCUCCCACCACCUCUGGCAGCUCACACUUUCUCUCACACACACUCACCUCCCACCACCUCUGGCAGCUCACACUUUCUCUCACACACACGCACCUCCCACAUCUCUGGCAGCUCACACUGUCUCUCACACACACGCACCUCCCACCACCUCUGGCAGCUCACACUUUCUCUCACACACACUCACCUCCCACCACCUCUGGCAGCUCACACUUUCUCUCACACACACUCACCUCCCACCACCUCUGGCAGCUCACACUUUCUCUCACACACACUCACCUCCCACAUCUCUGGCAGCUCACACUUUCUCUCACACACACUCACCUCCCACCACCUCUGGCAGCUCACACUUUCUCUCACACACACGCACCUCCCACCACCUCUGGCAGCUCACACUGUCUCUCACACACACUCACCUCCCACAUCUCUGGCAGCUCACACUGUCUCUCACACACACGCACCUCCCACCACCUCUGGCAGCUCACACUUUCUCUCACACACACUCACCUCCCACAUCUCUGGCAGCUCACACUGUCUCUCACACACACGCACCUCCCACCACCUCUGGCAGCUCACACUUUCUCUCACACACACUCACCUCCCACAUCUCUGGCAGCUCACACUCACACACACGCACCUCCCACCACCUCUGGCAGCUCACACUCACACACGCACCUCCCACCACCUCUGGCAGCUCACACUGUCUCUCACACACACUCACCUCCCACAUCUCUGGCAGCUCACACUGUCUCUCACACACACGCACCUCCCACCACCUCUGGCAGCUCACACUUUCUCUCACACACACUCACCUCCCACCACCUCUGGCAGCUCACACUGUCUCUCACACACACUCACCUCCCACCACCUCUGGCAGCUCACACUGUCUCUCACACACACUCACCUCCCACAUCUCUGGCAGCUCACACUGUCUCUCACACACACGCACCUCCCACCACCUCUGGCAGCUCACACUUUCUCUCACACACACUCACCUCCCACAUCUCUGGCAGCUCACACUGUCUCUCACACACACUCACCUCCCACAUCUCUGGCAGCUCACACUGUCUCUCACACACACGCACCUCCCACCACCUCUGGCAGCUCACACUGUCUCUCACACACACUCACCUCCCACAUCUCUGGCAGCUCACACUGUCUCUCACACACACUCACCUCCCACAUCUCUGGCAGCUCACACUGUCUCUCACACACACUCACCUCCCACCACCUCUGGCAGCUCACACUUUCUCUCACACACACUCACCUCCCACAUCUCUGGCAGCUCACACUGUCUCUCACACACACUCACCUCCCACAUCUCUGGCAGCUCACACUGUCUCUCACACACACGCACCUCCCACCACCUCUGGCAGCUCACACUUUCUCUCACACACACUCACCUCCCACCACCUCUGGCAGCUCACACUGUCUCUCACACACACUCACCUCCCACAUCUCUGGCAGCUCACACUGUCUCUCACACACACGCACCUCCCACCACCUCUGGCAGCUCACACUUUCUCUCACACACACGCACCUCCCACCACCUCUGGCAGCUCACACUUUCUCUCACACACACUCACCUCCCACCACCUCUGGCAGCUCACACUGUCUCUCACACACACGCACCUCCCACCACCUCUGGCAGCUCACACUGUCUCUCACACACACGCACCUCCCACCACCUCUGGCAGCUCACACUUUCUCUCACACACACGCACCUCCCACCACCUCUGGCAGCUCACACUG
This is a long non-coding RNA of Zalophus californianus (California sea lion), 2140 nucleotides long. NCBI's taxonomy places the organism in Eukaryota, Metazoa, Chordata, Mammalia, Carnivora, Otariidae. The record is from Ensembl.